Lagopus muta (rock ptarmigan) is the source of this 1993-nucleotide RNA transcript. RefSeq lists it as uncharacterized. The transcript has 3 exons. The record is from RefSeq and is a predicted model, not a curated record. NCBI's taxonomy places the organism in Eukaryota, Metazoa, Chordata, Aves, Galliformes, Phasianidae.
AAAGACAUUGCUGCCCGAACAAAGAAUAUGGUUGUAAAGGUGCGCCAUGUAGAUGCUCAUGUGCCCAAGAGUCGGGCUACUGAAGAACAGCAAAACAACCAUCAGGUAGACCGAGCUGCCAGAAUUGAGGUGGCUCAAAUAGACCUGGACUGGCAGAACAAGGGUGAAUUAUUUCUAGCUCGGUGGGCCCAUGAGACCUCAGGUCAUCAAGGAAGAGAUGCAACAUACAAAUGGGCUAGAGACCGAGGGGUGGACUUAACUAUGGAUGCCAUUGCACAGGUUAUUCAUAACUGUGAAACAUGUGCCAUCAUCAAACAAGCCAAGAGGAUGAAACCUCUGUGGGAGGAAGGGCGAUGGCAAAAGUACAAAUAUGGGGAGGCAUGGCAGGUUGAUUAUAUCACCUUGCCACGAUCUCGCAAUAGUAAGCAUUAUGUGCUUACUAUGGUGGAGGCAACCACUGGGUGGCUUGAAACAUAUGCAGUACCCCAUGCUACUGCCCGAAACACCAUACUGGGUACCAUAGUGGGUCUCGAGAAACAACUCCUGUGGCGACAUGGCACCCCAGAAAGGAUUGAGUCUGAUAAUGGGACUCAUUUCAAAAAUUCUCUUGUAAAUACUUGGGCCAAAGAUCAUGGCACUGAGUGGAUUUACCAUAUUUCCUAUCAUGCACCAGCCUCUGGUAAAAUUGAACGAUACAAUGGUUUGUUAAAAACGAUGCUAAAAGCACUGGGUGGCGGAACAUUUAAGCACUGGGAGAAGCAUUUGGCAGAAGCCACCUGGUUAGUCAAUACCAGAGGAUCUGUCAAUCGUGAUGGUCCUAACCAGUGCAGUUCCCUACAUACCGUAGAGGGAGAUAAAGUCCCCAUUGUACAUGUAAAGAACAUGUUAGGAAAGGCAGUUUGGGUUCUUCCAGCUUCUGGAAAGGGCAAACCUCUCCGUGGUACAGUUUUUGCCCAGGGACCAGGAUCCACUUGGUGGGUAAUGCAGAAGAAUGGGCAUGUUCAGUGUGUACCACAAGGAAACUUGAUGCCGGGGGAGUGCAGUUAGUAAUUCCAUGUAUAUGUGUAUAGCCAUAUGUGUGUAAUGCAUUUUAAUCAUUUUUUUUUGUUUGUAUAUAUGUAUAUAUAUUUUAAGCAUGAUGUAACGAUGUAGAAUAAGGGGUGGACUGGGGUGGGGGGGGAGGGCAGAGGCCUGUCGCCCCUGUCACGGACAUAGAUUGAUCUAGUCAACUCCUUGACAUUCAAUAGUAUCCCAAAAAGGGAGAGAGUUUCGGAAAUCGAGAGAGAGUUUCUGAGAGUUGAGAGGGAGAAUCUUUGGGCUGAGCGAGAGAGUCUUUUGGCUGAGAGAAAAGACCUCCAAUCUGAGAGGGAUAUCCUCAAGUCCGAGAGAGAUGCCCUCCAAAUCGAGAGACUCCCUGCAAUCCCAAAGAGAGAGUCUCCAGGCUGAAAAGGAUAGUCUUCUAGCCAGGAGAGAGAAUCUCAAAACCUGGCAAGAGUGUCUCUGAGCUGAGAAAGAAAGUCUCCAAGCCAAAGGGAAGAAUCUCCGAGCUGAGAGAAGGCAUCUCCAAUCUCGACAAUAUGCCUUCGAAUCCGAGCGAGACUCCCUCCAAUCCAAGUUUGACACCUUCCAAUCUUAACAGGACACCCUCGAAUCUGAACUAAAUAAUCUCAUAGUCGAACAACACAGACUCCAAGAAGAGCUAGAGGGUGAGAGCAUUAAAAACAACCAACCUGAUCAACCGCAAGAGGCACCACAAUUGAUGUCAGUUGCCCCUGUAAGAGGACGGAAAAUGAAACGUAUCUCAACUCAGUUAGAAGAGAAGAAAGAGGAGGAAAGAGGUCCAGAGGAGUGUCUCCGAGGUCUAGGAGAAGCACCUCUGAGUCCAGGGGAGGGGCCCUCAGUAAGACCACGGUCACCAAUGCCUACGAGGGCAAAAAGAAGUCCUGAAAGAGGAAUAGGUGAGCAAGAUAUUGUUAUCCUUGUUGAUCGAUCU